This 253-nucleotide ribosomal RNA is filed under the name uncultured bacterium. Its description in RNAcentral is "partial 16S ribosomal RNA". It matches the Rfam family "Bacterial small subunit ribosomal RNA", at positions 524 to 776 of the family's 1533-position model. The record is from RNAcentral.
GACAGAGGGUGCAAACGUUGUUCGGAUUUACUGGGCGUAAAGCGCGUGUAGGCGGCUUUGCAAGUCGGAUGUGAAAGCCCACGGCUCAACCGUGGAAGUGCAUCCGAAACUGCAUGGCUGGAGUCUCGGAGAGGAAGGUGGAAUGCUUGGUGUAGAGGUGAAAUUCGUAGAUAUCAAGCAGAACACCUGCGGCGAAGGCGGCCUUCUGGACGAUGACUGACGCUGAGGCGCGAAAGCGUGGGGAGCAAACAGG